UACGUAGGUCCCGAGCGUUGUCCGGAUUUAUUGGGCGUAAAGCGAGCGCAGGUGGUUUAUUAAGUCUGGUGUAAAAGGCAGUGGCUCAACCAUUGUAUGCAUUGGAAACUGGUAGACUUGAGUGCAGGAGAGGAGAGUGGAAUUCCAUGUGUAGCGGUGAAAUGCGUAGAUAUAUGGAGGAACACCGGUGGCGAAAGCGGCUCUCUGGCCUAUAACUGACACUGAGGCUCGAAAGCGUAGGGAGCAAACAGG
RNAcentral lists this ribosomal RNA (252 nucleotides) under uncultured bacterium. Its description in RNAcentral is "partial 16S ribosomal RNA". It matches the Rfam family "Bacterial small subunit ribosomal RNA", at positions 524 to 776 of the family's 1533-position model. The record is from RNAcentral.